GCGACUUGCGGUGCCGCAGCGCCCCCUCACGGCCAUUGCGGGAAGCGGCGAGGGGUGAGGUGCAAGCCUAGGUUUCUUUGAACCAAGGCCGCUGGAAAACUGAGGCCCAGAAAUGUACGCUGUUCCAAUUGUUACGCUGGCAAUUGUGAUAACACAGUCGGACUUAGAGCUUCCUGGCCUACUCAGCCCUAAUGAGGGGUGAGGUGGCGGGUCCCAUGCCAGGUGAGCAGUUGACUCUUUGCAAAGAGUCAUGCUAAUCGCCCCCACAGUGGACUCUCAGGUGAAAAGGGGCGAAAAGUCCCAUUUUUCAAAAGCUCACAGAUGUGCUAUGCAGCCUAGUUAAGCGGAGUCCUCAGAUCCAUGAUAGAGGAUGGAGAGAGAUCUUCGGAGCCUGGCACAACUGGACCUAAGUCGUGAUUGCUGGCAGCCACCACCAACUGCCUAAUCUCUCUGAAGUUCCCUAAAGGCCUGUACCACUGCCACACUAGAGACAAUACAGCACAGCAGUAUGAAGCCUGGGCUCUGGGGCCUAACCGCCGAGGAUCAAAUCCCAGCUCUCAGUGUAACUUCUUUGUGCAUCAUUUCCUUAAACGAUCUGCCACAUAAGGCUUCUGUGCAGAUGAAAUGUAUUAAAACACAUGCUAUGCUUUUGAGAGCCAGCUGCAGAGAAAGCACUUAACAAACAGUAAGUAAUGCCAAUGAUAAUAAAUAACACUUACUAAACACUA
Peromyscus maniculatus bairdii (prairie deer mouse) is the source of this 728-nucleotide non-coding RNA. The record is from RefSeq and is a predicted model, not a curated record. NCBI's taxonomy places the organism in Eukaryota, Metazoa, Chordata, Mammalia, Rodentia, Cricetidae.